RNAcentral lists this ribosomal RNA (497 nucleotides) under uncultured bacterium. RNAcentral's name for it is "partial 16S ribosomal RNA". It matches the Rfam family "Bacterial small subunit ribosomal RNA", at positions 28 to 507 of the family's 1533-position model. The record is from RNAcentral.
GAUGAACGCUGGCGGCGUGCCUAAUACAUGCAAGUCGAGCGAACGGACGAGAAGCUUGCUUCUCUGAUGUUAGCGGCGGACGGGUGAGUAACACGUGGAUAACCUACCUAUAAGACUGGGAUAACUUCGGGAAACCGGAGCUAAUACCGGAGAAUAUUUUGAACCGCAUGGUUCAAAAGUGAAAGACGGUCUUGCUGUCACGUAUAGAUGGAUCCGCGCUGCAUUAGCUAGUUGGUAAGGUAACGGCUUACCAAGGCAACGAUGCAUAGCCGACCUGAGAGGGGGAUCGGCCACACUGGAACUGAGCCACGGUCCUGACUCCUACGGGAGGCAGCAGUAGGGAAUCUUCCGCAAUGGGCGAAAGCCUGACGGAGCAACGCCGCGUGAGUGAUGAAGGUCUUCGGAUCGUAAAACUCUGUUAUUAGGGAAGAACAUAUGUGUAAGUAACUGUGCACAUCUUGACGGUACCUAAUCAGAAAGCCACGGCUAACUACGUG